RNAcentral lists this non-coding RNA (23 nucleotides) under Arabidopsis thaliana (thale cress). Lineage: Eukaryota; Viridiplantae; Streptophyta; Magnoliopsida; Brassicales; Brassicaceae. The record is from RNAcentral.
AGAUUAACUUGUGCUUCAAGCUA